RNAcentral lists this signal recognition particle RNA (231 nucleotides) under Echeneis naucrates (live sharksucker). RNAcentral describes it as "Metazoan signal recognition particle RNA (ENSENLG00000008282.1)". It matches the Rfam family "Metazoan signal recognition particle RNA". From Rfam's summary of the family: The signal recognition particle (SRP) is a universally conserved ribonucleoprotein. It is involved in the co-translational targeting of proteins to membranes. The eukaryotic SRP consists of a 300-nucleotide 7S RNA and six proteins: SRPs 72, 68, 54, 19, 14, and 9. Lineage: Eukaryota; Metazoa; Chordata; Actinopteri; Carangiformes; Echeneidae. The record is from Rfam by way of RNAcentral.
GCCGGGUGCGGUGGCGCGCGCCUGUAAUCCAAGUUCCCGGGAGGCUGAGGCUGGAGGAGCGUUUGAGCUCAGGAGCUCUGGGCUGCAGCGGACUAUGUCGAUCGGGUGUCCGCACUAAGUUCGGUAUCGAUAUGGUGCUCCGGGGGGAGCCCGGGAUCACCAGGUCGUCUAAGGAGGAGACGAAUAGACGCUGUAGUUCAGCCUGAGUAAGACAGCGGGACCCAGUCUUUA